Molecule: ribosomal RNA, 253 nt
Filed under: uncultured bacterium
Lineage: Bacteria
Description: partial 16S ribosomal RNA
Rfam family: Bacterial small subunit ribosomal RNA
Source: RNAcentral
UACGGAGGGGACUAGCGUUGUUCGGAAUUACUGGGCGUAAAGCGCGCGUAGGCGGAUUUGCAAGUCGGGGGUGAAAUCCCGAGGCUCAACCUCGGAACUGCCUUCGAUACUGCAAAUCUCGAGUCCGGAAGAGGUGAGUGGAAUUCCUAGUGUAGAGGUGAAAUUCGUAGAUAUUAGGAAGAACACCAGUGGCGAAGGCGGCUCACUGGUCCGGUACUGACGCUGAGGUGCGAAAGCGUGGGGAGCAAACAGG